This 496-nucleotide ribosomal RNA is filed under the name uncultured bacterium. RNAcentral describes it as "partial 16S ribosomal RNA". It matches the Rfam family "Bacterial small subunit ribosomal RNA", at positions 28 to 507 of the family's 1533-position model. The record is from RNAcentral.
GAUGAACGCUGGCGGCGUGCCUAAUACAUCCAAUUCGAGCAAAAAGCCAAGAACUUGCUCCCCUGACGUUUGCGGGCGACGGGUGUGUAACACCGUGAUAACCUACCUAUAAUACCUGGAGAACUUUGGGAAACCUGAGCUAAUACCUGAUAAUAUAUUUAACCCCAUUGCUCCAUAGUGGAAGACGGGUUUUUCUUCACUUAUUGGUGGAUUCGCGGCGCAUUAGCUAGUUGGUAAGGUAACGGCGUACCAAGGCAACGAUGCGUAGCAGACCUGAGAGGGUGAUCGGCCACACUGGAACUGAGACACGGUCCAGACUCCUACGGGAGGCAGCAGUAGGGAAUCUUCCGCAAUGGGCGAAAGACUGACGGAGCAACGCCGCGUGAGUGAUGAAGGUCUUCGGAUCGUAAAACUCUGUUAUUAGGGAAGAACAAAUGUGUAAGUAACUAUGCACGUCUUGACGGUACCUAAUCAGAAAGCCACGGCUAACUACGUG